This 183-nucleotide non-coding RNA is filed under the name Pelagicoccus sp. SDUM812003. RNAcentral describes it as "6S RNA". It matches the Rfam family "6S / SsrS RNA". Rfam says of the family: E. coli 6S RNA was the first non coding RNA to be sequenced, but its function was unknown until recently. It consists of 184 nucleotides that fold into an extended hairpin structure with a large single-stranded internal bulge. The 6S RNA specifically associates with RNA polymerase holoenzyme containing the sigma70 specificity factor. Lineage: Bacteria; Pseudomonadati; Verrucomicrobiota; Opitutia; Puniceicoccales; Pelagicoccaceae. The record is from RNAcentral.
CACGUCCUGCCGUGUUCGAGGUGUUGAUAACCAGCUCAUCGCCUACUUUACCUUUACGGGAGUCGUGAAUGAUGGCCGAUACUAAGCCGUAAACCGGAAAGUAGAAGCUGUCAGGAUGGCGCCCACCUGUAUGUACACAGGACCAUGAGCCCCUUCGGCAUACGGCACAAGGGUGGGACGUGU